RNAcentral lists this ribosomal RNA (468 nucleotides) under uncultured bacterium. RNAcentral's name for it is "partial 16S ribosomal RNA". It matches the Rfam family "Bacterial small subunit ribosomal RNA", at positions 28 to 507 of the family's 1533-position model. The record is from RNAcentral.
GACGAACGCUGGCGGCGUGCUUAACACAUGCAAGUCGAACGGACGGGCCCUGCUUUUGUGGGGUGCUCGAGUGGCGAACGGGUGAGUAACACGUGAGUAACCUGCCCUUGCCUUUGGGAUAACUUCAGGAAACUGGGGCUAAUACCGGAUAGGAGCUCCAGAUGCAUGGUGGGGGUUGGAAAGUUUCGGCGGUUGGGGAUGGACUCGCGGCUUAUCAGCUUGUUGGUGGGGUAGUGGCUUACCAAGGCUUUGACGGAUAGCCGGCCUGAGAGGGUGACCGGCCACAUUGGUACUGAGAUACGGCCCAGACGCCUACGGGAGGCAACAGUGGAGAAUAUUGCACAGUGGGCGGAAGCCUGAGGCAGCAACGCCGCGUGCGGGAUGACGGCCUUCGGGUGGUAAACCGCUUUCGCCUGUGACGAAGCGUGAGUGACGGUAAUGAGUAAAGAAGCACCGGCUAACUACGUG